CCGGAUCGGAGUCCACUUGCACAGCGAGUCUGGAACUUGAUUUGGAUCCAGUCGUUUCCCAGCUCAUCCGACCCGGAUCCGCUGUUGAUUAUAAGCUAGAAUGAUGCCCGCUAAUGUUUGGCUCGAGUGUCCUAACGGCUAUUAUGGUUGCCAAGGAGAGCCCUUAAUCUCCUACAAGGAGACUUUAUACAGAGUUUCCAAAAGGCGACGGCCCCGUCCCCGUCCAGUCCCUGACAAUAUUGACCAAGACACAGUUGAAUACAACACUGAUGAUUUUGUUGACUACAGUAGUGACAGCAACAGAGGUCUCUUUAGAGCCAUGAACGCAUUGGGACUUUUGGUCCUCCUGCUGGCCUUGUGGUAGUACUACGUGCUUUUCUUCUGGAUUAAGCUUCUCUUCUUAUUCUGAGUUUCUCUUCAUCCACCAGGAUUGAUUUUCAGUAUUGGAGGGCUGAAAAUGGACUUUUCCACCCUGUUCAUGAGUGAGGACCACAAAGUAGAUGUCAUCCACUCCGUCACACUGAAUGUGUUGAACAACUGGGGCAAUCGUGAGUAUUCUUGUCUGUACAGCUUCCGUGUUCAUUCUUUAUGUAUAAAAGAAAAGAGAGGAAAAAUGU
Molecule: long non-coding RNA, 617 nt
Organism: Pundamilia nyererei
Lineage: Eukaryota; Metazoa; Chordata; Actinopteri; Cichliformes; Cichlidae
Exons: 3
Source: RefSeq, a predicted model, not a curated record